UGGGGAAUAUUGGACAAUGGGGGCAACCCUGAUCCAGCAAUGCCGCGUGUGUGAAGAAGGUCUUCGGAUUGUAAAGCACUUUCGACGGGGACGAUGAUGACGGUACCCGUAGAAGAAGCCCCGGCUAACUUCGUGCCAGCAGCCGCGGUAAUACGAAGGGGGCUAGCGUUGCUCGGAAUGACUGGGCGUAAAGGGCGUGUAGGCGGUUUACACAGUCAGAUGUGAAAUCCCCGGGCUUAACCUGGGAGCUGCAUUUGAUACGUGUAGACUAGAGUGUGAGAGAGGGUUGUGGAAUUCCCAGUGUAGAGGUGAAAUUCGUAGAUAUUGGGAAGAACACCGGUGGCGAAGGCGGCAACCUGGCUCAUGACUGACGCUGAGGCGCGAAAAGCGUGGGGAGCAAACAGGGUUAGAUACCCUGGUAGUCCACGCUGUAAACGAUG
Molecule: ribosomal RNA, 440 nt
Filed under: uncultured bacterium
Lineage: Bacteria
Description: partial 16S ribosomal RNA
Rfam family: Bacterial small subunit ribosomal RNA
Source: RNAcentral